CGCGACGUUCGGCCCGGGUCGGACACGCACCGCAUGUCGCUCCAACCGCCGGCCGAGCGCACCCGAACGCACUCCCGAUAAAUCAUACUCGAUCGCAGGGAAAUUAACAGUGGGAAAUGUUACUCGUAUCCAUUACCUUCCCUGUUUGAUGUGGAUUUGCACCAAUAUACCAGUGUUGAUAGAGUUACAGUAACCACAAGUGAAUACGAUCCAGUUAGAAACGAUACGAAAGUGACACGACGUUGGGAAACUCGCGCGGUUUUGAAAAAUAACAACUAGUGUGAACGUUAAUCUCGAAAGUGCAACUUCGGUGUUGGUUUGCUGCCUCGGACUGUCACAGAUCGUGUGAACGCGUCCGCAAACCCCGACUCGUUUGCGGCUUCGCGUAAACCGAGACGGUGUUGCAAAUACGACCCCAAAUUGUGCAAUGCUGAUUCCUUAAACAUGUACGUAAUGAGUAUGUUGAAUCAUCGAAUGUUGCGAACUGAUUACCAUAGUUAAGAGUCCCACGUCGGGCGCCAUUCGCUGCGUGUCGGUUGGAGAUUGACUGGUAAUUGAGUGGUGUAGAGCAGGGUCUGGUGCGGGGUAUGCGAGAGGGUGUUGUGCAGUGACGGCGC
Molecule: long non-coding RNA, 617 nt
Organism: Pectinophora gossypiella (pink bollworm)
Lineage: Eukaryota; Metazoa; Arthropoda; Insecta; Lepidoptera; Gelechiidae
Exons: 3
Source: RefSeq, a predicted model, not a curated record